UACCCCUAGCAAAUCUCAAAAAACCGUCUCAGUUCGGAUUGGGCUCUGCAACUCGAGCCCAUGAAGUUGGAAUCGCUAGUAAUCGUGGAUCAGCAUGCCACGGUGAAUACGUUCCCGGGCCUUGUACACACCGCCCGUCACACCAUGGGAGUUGGUUGGACCAGAAGUCGCUGCGCUAACCCGUAAGGGAGGCAGGUGCCCAAGGUCUGGUCAGCGACUGGGGUGAAG
Molecule: ribosomal RNA, 228 nt
Filed under: uncultured Nitrobacter sp.
Lineage: Bacteria; Pseudomonadati; Pseudomonadota; Alphaproteobacteria; Hyphomicrobiales; Nitrobacteraceae
Description: partial 16S ribosomal RNA
Rfam family: Bacterial small subunit ribosomal RNA
Source: RNAcentral